This 180-nucleotide ribosomal RNA is filed under the name uncultured bacterium. Its description in RNAcentral is "partial 16S ribosomal RNA". It matches the Rfam family "Bacterial small subunit ribosomal RNA", at positions 338 to 514 of the family's 1533-position model. The record is from RNAcentral.
CCUACGGGAGGCAGCAGUGAGGAAUAUUGGUCAAUGGACGAGAGUCUGAACCAGCCAAGUAGCGUGCAGGAUGACGGCCCUAUGGGUUGUAAACUGCUUUUAUAAGGGAAUAAAGUGAGUCUCGUGAGACUUUUUGUCAUGUACCUUAUGAAUAAGGACCGGCUAAUUCCGUGCCAGCAG